Molecule: transfer RNA, 73 nt
Filed under: subsurface metagenome
Description: tRNA-Ala
Rfam family: tRNA
About the family: Transfer RNA (tRNA) molecules are approximately 80 nucleotides in length.
Source: RNAcentral
UGGGCCUGUAGUUUAACGGCAAAAUACCUCGUUUGCACCGAGGAGCUCCGUGUUCAAUUCACGGUAGGUCCAU